RNAcentral lists this transfer RNA (98 nucleotides) under Streptomyces purpureus. RNAcentral describes it as "tRNA-Gln". Lineage: Bacteria; Bacillati; Actinomycetota; Actinomycetes; Kitasatosporales; Streptomycetaceae. The record is from RNAcentral.
CCCCGGCGGGGCGGCCGUUGCUGCCGCUGCCGUCGCCCUGGUCGACGGAGGCGGAGGUGGUCGGCUGGGCGCUGCCGCUCGGCCCGGCGAUCGGGGGC